GGGAUCCUACGGGGGGCAGCAGUAGGGAAUCUUCCACAAUGGGCGAAAGCCUGAUGGAGCAACGCCGCGUGGGUGGAGAAGGUCUUCGGAUCGUACAACCCUGUUGUUAGAGAAGAAAGUGCGUGAGAGUAACUGUUCACGUUUCGACGGUAUCUAACCAGAAAGCCACGGCUAACUACGUGCCAGCAGCCGCGGUAAUACGUAGGUGGCAAGCGUUAUCCGGAUUUAUUGGGCGUAAAGGGAACGCAGGCGGUCUUUUAAGUCUGAUGUGUAAGACUUCGGCUUAACCGGAGUAGUGCAUUGGG
Molecule: ribosomal RNA, 305 nt
Filed under: uncultured bacterium
Lineage: Bacteria
Description: bacterial SSU rRNA
Rfam family: Bacterial small subunit ribosomal RNA
Source: RNAcentral